GACGAACGCUGGCGGCGUGCUUAACACAUGCAAGUCGAACGGAAAGGCCCUGCUUUUGUGUGGUGCUCGAGUGGCGAACGGGUGAGUAACACGUGAGUAACCUGCCCUUGACUUUGUGAUAACUUCAGGAAACUGGGGCUAAUACCGGAUAGGAGCUCCUGCUGCAUGGUGGGCGUCGGAAAGUUUCGGCGGUUGGGGAUGGACUCGCGGCUUAUCAGCUUGUUGGUUGGGUAGUGGCUUACCAAGGCUUUGACGGGUAGCCGGCCUGAGAGGGUGGCCGGCCACAUUGGGACUGAGAUACGGCCCAGACUCCUACGGGAGGCAGCAGUGGGGAAUAUUGCACAAUGGGCGGAAGCCUGAUGCAGCAACGCCGCGUGCGGGAUGACGGCCUUCGGGUUGUAAACCGCUUUCGCCUGUGACGAAGCGUGAGUGACGGUAAUGGGUAAAGAAGCACCGGCUAACUACGUG
Molecule: ribosomal RNA, 468 nt
Filed under: uncultured bacterium
Lineage: Bacteria
Description: partial 16S ribosomal RNA
Rfam family: Bacterial small subunit ribosomal RNA
Source: RNAcentral